GGAAAGUUAACGACAGGAGCAGCUGACGUGAUGAAGACGAUGUGAGGUCAGGAGUCAGGAUAACUCCAUCUCUUGAGAUGACAUCAGGAGCCCCUGUCCUUCUGCUGAGUGUUCCCAUCAGGAGCCCGGCACGCUGAUCAGAAAAUAUACUAUGGUUAAUAAGAAGAUGGACAUAACAGCAUGAUGAAGACCCUCUGGAGAAUUCCCUCUGCUGGGCCAAGUUCCAAAAAUGUAGAGACAGACCCUCUGUAAGUUUACUGUAUUAUCCUACUUUUAUUAACUUUCAUAACUAAACAUAUGCACAUUAUAAUCACACCUGUUGUUGUGCAUAUUGUUUCUUUCAGAACAUGCUGUGGUUGAGUUUAAAGACUGACCCUCUGUAAGUGCAUAGAUUUCUCCAAUCAAGUGUUUACCUUUCAUGUUCAAAUC
Molecule: long non-coding RNA, 429 nt
Organism: Boleophthalmus pectinirostris (great blue-spotted mudskipper)
Lineage: Eukaryota; Metazoa; Chordata; Actinopteri; Gobiiformes; Gobiidae
Exons: 4
Source: RefSeq, a predicted model, not a curated record